AUGUUCCACCUGGAGUAAAAAAUCUUGGAUUUAACUUUCUUUUUAUCACCGAUUGUGGUUUUAAGAAUCAUGAUCGACAUCAAGAGAAUCAAAAGGUGGAUCACCAGGUGAAUGAAAAGAUCAAUAGCUUGGCUUAUGGACUUUGACGCACAAAUGUACCUCUCUUUUGUCUCUUCUUCUACCCACGAACUGAUGGAGACGCGGAAACUCGAAUGGCGAACACCGUGCUGCGGAACAAUCGAUCGCAACUAAAGUUGCCAUUUGCAAUAUUCUUUAUUUGCGCCCACGUUACAGGUACUUUGUGUGGGUUGGAGAGAGAAAAAAAAAUUAGCUAAGGAAGAGGAGAAAGAGUAAAUCUGGGGAGAGAAGGAAAAAGAAACCGGUAGUGAGAUGUCAAACAAAUGUAAAUGACACGUAGAAAUACAUGAAGAGACUUUGAUCGAUCUGCUGAUAUCAUAUGGAACACUGAACCAACAAUUGAGAGGAUAAUUGAAGUGCACUAUUAAAAGUCAAACAGUUGUCAAGCCGUUAAAUCAUUUUAUUCCAAGAAGUGUUGAGGAACAAUGCGAGGAAAAUUAGUAAUCAAGGCUGUCAUGAGAAAUCAGGUCUCCAGCGAGUGUCACGUGGCAAUUAACGACAGUUGGUGUUAUUUACAACCAAUUGAAAAAAAAGAAAGCAUUUAUGGUAAUUGAAUUACCAUUAAUAAUGCCGACGGAAUUUUAUUCGAGAAAUCAGAAGCAGUAAAAAAAGCUAUACGUUGGGAUUAGAAGAAAAAUGUUAAUUUUAUCGGGUAAUGUAUUUAUAUAGAUAUAUUUGUAUAUAUGUAUCGGAAAUAGUUAAGCUCCUAACACUUGGAAUAAAACACGUGUGACUGAUACCUCCAGCCAAGUUGAUUCCACGCACGCGGUUCGUUUCCUUGACGAGUUAGCAUCAUGUACGCGCUGAGCGACUUAAAUGAGCACAUUUUCUCCUAUAAUUCUCUCACUAAUAUGGAAAGGGCUCUACAUGGUAAUAUGUCAGUAUGUUUUCAAUAAAAAAUUUGAAACAUUCAUUUAAUUUCCAGACUCUUUAGGUUAAUAUGGAUUUUUUAUCAUCAAUGAUGAGUAAAUCAUCACAUUUCUAUUUUAUAAAGUGA
Chelonus insularis is the source of this 1135-nucleotide long non-coding RNA. RefSeq lists it as uncharacterized. Lineage: Eukaryota; Metazoa; Arthropoda; Insecta; Hymenoptera; Braconidae. The record is from RefSeq and is a predicted model, not a curated record. The transcript has 4 exons.